CCUACGGGAGGCUGCAGUAGGGAAUAUUGCGCAAUGAGGGAAAGCCUGAUGCAGCGACGCAGCGUGCAGGAUGAAGUAUUUCGGUUUGUAAACUUCUAUCGUAAGGGAAGAAAAUAUCGAUACCUGACUAAGAAACCCCGGCUAACGACGUACCAGAAGCCGCGGUCAUACGUAGGGGGACAGCGUUAUCCGGAUUUACUGGGAGGAAAGUGAGCGGAGGCGGUUUAGCAAGUCAGAAGUGAAGGGCCGGGGCUCAACUCCGGGACCGCUUUUGAUACUGGUGAACUAGAGUGCAGGAGAGGUAAGCGGAAUUCUUAGUGAAGCGGUGAAAUGCGUAGAUAUUAGGAGGAACACCAGCGGCGAAGGCGGUUUACUGGACUGUAAAUGACGCUGAGGAUCGAAAGCGUGGGGAGCAAACAGGAUUAGAUACCCGAGUAGUC
RNAcentral lists this ribosomal RNA (440 nucleotides) under uncultured bacterium. RNAcentral describes it as "partial 16S ribosomal RNA". It matches the Rfam family "Bacterial small subunit ribosomal RNA", at positions 338 to 795 of the family's 1533-position model. The record is from RNAcentral.